Molecule: ribosomal RNA, 246 nt
Filed under: uncultured bacterium
Lineage: Bacteria
Description: partial 16S ribosomal RNA
Rfam family: Bacterial small subunit ribosomal RNA
Source: RNAcentral
CCUACGGGGCGCAGCAGUGGGGAAUAUUGCACAAUGGGGGGAACCCUGAUGCAGCAAUGCCGCGUGGGUGAAGAAGCACUCCGGUGCGUAAAGCUCUGUUAGCAGGGAAGAGGAAGGACGGUACCUGCAGAGGAAGCCACGGCUAACUACGUGCCAGCAGCCGCGGUAAUACGUAGGUGGCAAGCGUUGUUCGGAAUAACUGGGCGUAAAGGAUGCGUAGGCGGUUAAACAAGUUUUUUGGUAAAU